Molecule: non-coding RNA, 393 nt
Organism: Paramuricea clavata
Lineage: Eukaryota; Metazoa; Cnidaria; Anthozoa; Malacalcyonacea; Plexauridae
Source: the annotation of a GenBank genome assembly
GUCCAUGUUUUACAAAUGAGUCCAGUCCAUGUUUUACAAAUGAGUCCAGUCCAUGUUUUACAAAUGAGUCCAGUCCAUGUUUUACAAAUGAGUCCAGUCCAUGUUUUACAAAUGAGUCCAGUCCAUGUUUUACAAAUGAGUCCAGUCCAGGUUUUACAAAUGAGUCCGGUCCAGGUUUUACAAAUGAGUCCAGUCCAGGUUUUACAAAUGAGUCCAGUCCAGGUUUUACAAAUGAGUCCAGUCCAGGUUUUACAAAUGAGUCCAGUCCAGGUUUUACAAAUGAGUCCAGUCCAUGUUUUACAAAUUUCAUUGUUCUGAGUCCAGUCCAUGUUUUACAAAUGAGUCCAGUCCAGGUUUUACAAGUCCAGUCCAGUCCAGGUUUUACAACAUGCC